AGUAAGCCAGAUGGCCGCGGGCGCGCUUGCGUCCGAGGAAAGUCCGAGCUCCGCAGGGCAGGGUGCUGGGUAACUCCCAGUGAAGGCGACUUCAAGGAAAGUGCAACAGAGAGAUACCGCGAAUCCCCCUUUGGGGGGACGUAAGGGUGGAAAGGCGAGGUAAGAGCUCACCAGCGGCUUGGCGACUUGUCCGCUAUGUAAACCCCACCUGGUGCAAGGAAAUAGAGGGGCACAAUGUGGCGGCCCGUCACGCCCCCCGGGAAACCCGCUUGAGCGCGCUGGCAACCGCGCGCCUAGACAGAUGGCCAUCCAAUACAGAACUCGGCUUAUAGACUUGCUCGC
Molecule: RNase P RNA, 342 nt
Filed under: human gut metagenome
Description: Bacterial RNase P class A
Rfam family: Bacterial RNase P class A
About the family: Ribonuclease P (RNase P) is a ubiquitous endoribonuclease, found in archaea, bacteria and eukarya as well as chloroplasts and mitochondria. Its best characterised activity is the generation of mature 5'-ends of tRNAs by cleaving the 5'-leader elements of precursor-tRNAs.
Source: RNAcentral